GAGGGGGACCUUCGGGCCUCUCGCUUCAGGAUAUGCCCAGGUGGNAUUAGCUANNUGGUGAGGUAAUGGCUCACCAAGGCGACGAUCCCUANCUGGUCUGAGAGGAUGAUCANCCACACUGGAACUGANACACGGUCCAGACUCCUACGGGAGGCAGCAGUGGGGAAUAUUGCACAAUGGGCGCAAGCCUGAUGCAGCCAUGCCGCGUGUAUGAAGAAGGCCUUCGGGUUGUAAAGUACUUUCAGUCGUGAGGAAGGCGUUGNANUUAAUAGCUUCAUCGUUUGACGUUAGCGACAGAAGAAGCACCGGCUAACUCCGUGCCAGCAGCCGCGGUAAUACGGAGGGUGCGAGCGUUAAUCGGAAUUACUGGGCGUAAAGCGCAUGCAGGUGGUUUGUUAAGUCAGAUGUGAAAGCCCGGGGCUCAACCUCGGAACCGCAUUUGNNCUGGCAGGCUAGAGUACUGUAGAGGGGGGUAGAAUUUCAGGUGUAGCGGUGAAAUGCGUANAGAUCUGAAGGAAUACCAGUGGCGAANGCGGCCCCCUGGACAGAUACUGACACUCAGAUGCGAAAGCGUGGGGAGCAAACAGGANUA
RNAcentral lists this ribosomal RNA (592 nucleotides) under Vibrio sp. HR06-50. RNAcentral describes it as "partial 16S ribosomal RNA". It matches the Rfam family "Bacterial small subunit ribosomal RNA", at positions 202 to 780 of the family's 1533-position model. The record is from RNAcentral. Lineage: Bacteria; Pseudomonadati; Pseudomonadota; Gammaproteobacteria; Vibrionales; Vibrionaceae.